CUUAAUUGGGCGUUAAGUUGCAGGGUAUAGACCCGAAACCCGGUGAUCUAGCCAUGGGCAGGUUGAAGGUUGGGUAACACUAACUGGAGGACCGAACCGACUAAUGUUGAAAAAUUAGCGGAUGACCUGUGGCUGGGGGUGAAAGGCCAAUCAAACCGGGAGAUAGCUGGUUCUCCCCGAAAGCUAUUUAGGUAGCGCCUCGUGAAUUCAUCUCCGGGGGUAGAGCACUGUUUCGGCUAGGGGGCCAUCCCGGCUUACCAACCCGAUGCAAACUGCGAAUACCGGAGAAUGUUAUCACGGGAGACACACGGCGGGUGCUAACGUCCGUCGUGAAGAGGGAAACAACCCAGACCGCCAGCUAAGGUCCCAAAGUCAUGGUUAAGUGGGAAACGAUGUGGGAAGGCCCAGACAGCCAGGAUGUUGGCUUAGAAGCAGCCAUCAUUUAAAGAAAGCGUAAUAGCUCACUGGUCGAGUCGGCCUGCGCGGAAGAUGUAACGGGGCUAAACCAUGCACCGAAGCUGCGGCAGCGACGCUGAUGCGUUGUUGGGUAGGGGAGCGUUCUGUAAGCCUGCGAAGGUGGCCUGUGAGGGUUGCUGGAGGUAUCAGAAGUGCGAAUGCUGACAUAAGUAACGAUAAAGCGGGUGAAAAGCCCGCUCGCCGGAAGACCAAGGGUUCCUGUCCAACGUUAAUCGGGGCAGGGUGAGUCGACCCCUAAGGCGAGGCCGAAAGGCGUAGUCGAUGGGAAACGGGUUAAUAUUCCCGUACUUGGUGUUACUGCGAAGGGGGGACGGAGAAGGCUAUGUUGGCCGGGCGACGGUUGUCCCGGUUUAAGCGUGUAGGUGUGUGUUCCAGGUAAAUCCGGUUCACUUUAACACUGAGGCGUGACGACGAGGCACUACGGUGCUGAAGCAACAAAUGCCCUGCUUCCAGGAAAAGCCUCUAAGCAUCAGGUAACAUCAAAUCGUACCCCAAACCGACACAGGUGGUCAGGUAGAGAAUACCAAGGCGCUUGAGAGAACUCGGGUGAAGGAACUAGGCAAAAUGGUGCCGUAACUUCGGGAGAAGGCACGCUGACACGUAGGUGAAGUGAUUUACUCAUGGAGCUGAAGUCAGUCGAAGAUACCAGCUGGCUGCAACUGUUUAUUAAAAACACAGCACUGUGCAAACACGAAAGUGGACGUAUACGGUGUGACGCCUGCCCGGUGCCGGAAGGUUAAUUGAUGGGGUCAGCGCAAGCGAAGCUCCUGAUCGAAGCCCCGGUAAACGGCGGCCGUAACUAUAACGGUCCUAAGGUAGCGAAAUUCCUUGUCGGGUAAGUUCCGACCUGCACGAAUGGCGUAAUGAUGGCCAGGCUGUCUCCACCCGAGACUCAGUGAAAUUGAACUCGCUGUGAAGAUGCAGUGUACCCGCGGCAAGACGGAAAGACCCCGUGAACCUUUACUAUAGCUUGACACUGAACAUUGAGCCUUGAUGUGUAGGAUAGGUGGGAGGCUUUGAAGUGUGGACGCCAGUCUGCAUGGAGCCGACCUUGAAAUACCACCCUUUAAUGUUU
RNAcentral lists this ribosomal RNA (1552 nucleotides) under Salmonella enterica subsp. enterica serovar Durham. RNAcentral describes it as "partial 23S ribosomal RNA". It matches the Rfam family "Bacterial large subunit ribosomal RNA", at positions 683 to 2215 of the family's 2925-position model. The record is from RNAcentral. Lineage: Bacteria; Pseudomonadati; Pseudomonadota; Gammaproteobacteria; Enterobacterales; Enterobacteriaceae.